UACUACUUUGAGUAUAUACACUGAUACGAGGCAAUAUAUCUCACCUUGUAUCCGUGCUUUUACUUACCCUAUAGCUAACUAAAUGAAAUAGGCAGUCAUUUUCAUACAAUUAUUGCCGUAGAGCUCGAAUUUCACACUGACAUUACCAACAAACAUAGAUAAAGCCUCCAUAGCAUAGUUUUACGAUUUAACACUGUAAAUUGAUAUUUUUUUCAAUUAAUUUCGUGUCCUUUCUUAUCAAAUACUUAGAAAUUGAAACCAAUCACUUACGAACGAUAUGGGUUAAACUGCAUAAACUCAACCGCUUGUACUGGUCAAAUAAUGCCGUUAGUAUGCUUACGGUCAUAUGAAAAUAGGCUUGGCAUUCAUUUUAAAUUAUUACUUUAUGCUUUUACAUCCACAUUUUUAUCAGUUUAUUGUGCCAAGCGUAGAGUAUACAAAUAUAUCCAUUAUUAUUGAUUAUAUAUAAUUAUUAAUGAGAAUAACGGCGAAUGCACAGUGGUUCACACAACCACUUAGUUAUUAAAAAUAAAACAUAAAUGAUUAAUUCACAAU
This 555-nucleotide unclassified non-coding RNA is filed under the name Moritella viscosa. Its description in RNAcentral is "putative sRNA". The record is from RNAcentral. Lineage: Bacteria; Pseudomonadati; Pseudomonadota; Gammaproteobacteria; Alteromonadales; Moritellaceae.